CAGGCCCGCCUCCCGGAAGUCCUGAUGGGAGCAGUAAAUAAGAGGGUUCAGACCACAGUCCAGGUAUGACAUCACUGACGACAGUGUUCUUAACCAAUCAGGUGCCGGUGACAGGUCCAUCCUGCCCAGCAGGAUCAGCUGAUGGAGAGGUCAACGAGAAGAAAGAAACAGACAGUCUAUGAGUGGACGUGUGUGUUCGCUCUGUGGUGUCUGUGUACACGCAGAUACAGAUGUUGUUUCAUGUAGUGAGUGAGUGCAUGUGUCACCUCAGACACAAUGAAGGGAGUGUAGCAGAGCAUGUAGGAGGCCACCAGCAGAGGAGUGACUGCAGACAGAUCUUCAUCAUCACUGAGACAAAGAGGGAACAAGAUGAUGAGAGGAGCAAAUAACAGGCUGUUUGUUUACAAGUUCUCCUCCAUGCAGUUGGCCAUGUUCUACAGUAGCUCAGAAUGGACAAACCAAACACUCAGUAUGUUUAUAUGCACAGUGAAGUUGAGUUACCUGUUGCAGCUCGCGUGGCAGCCAGUGGCACUCAGUAGAGAGCAGAAGAAAAUAAUGAGGAAGGGGAAGAAGAUGCAGAUGGAGAAAGCACAGAGAAUGUAGACCAACAUGUCUGAGUAGCUGUUUUCCCAGAAGACGGCACACAGCAUCUCUGCAGGGUCGUACCUGGAGGAAAGAUAAUGGAGGUGAACAGAGCAGAAACAACAUGGAGCUCUAACUGAAAGCAUCAAGUAAAGUACAUACUUUAUCCAACUGUAGACAACAGGAACGCUUCCAAACACAAUUCCUGUAACCCAAGAUGCCAAGCAGCAAAGAGCACUUCCUGUUGAGGGGAUGCCAAUCAGACGUUGCAAACAGAGGACAGCUGUAAAGGAAAAGAGAAACCCUCAAACUCACUGCAUCAGAGGACUUAUGAGACUGUUGCCUACUAUAAAGUGUGUUUAGCCGUACCUAUGCUCCCUAUGGAGGAGGUGAUGAAGGCAAACUUGAGCAGGCUGACGACCUCACACCACGGUGACCUCUGACCUCCUGUCAGCAUGGCAAACAGGGAGCCGGAGAUGAUGAGGAGGGAGCACCCUUCACGACACAACGAUUAAUUAUCAGACAUGACGACUUCCUGUGCUGAGAUUACAUGUCAACCACUGUGGCGAAUGUGUUUUAAUACUAGAAUGAAAACUAGAAUUAUGAGUUGAGUUGAGAGACAGUAGGAUACACCAAGAACGUAAAUUAAAAAUAUGAUUAUAGCUGUUGCACAGCAGUGAAUUUGGGCCAGGCAUUUUGAGGAGGAAGAAGACAUUUGUUUGUUUCAUAUGUAUCAGCAUUUCUACAGUGACUUGGUAUAUGAGCUGCUUUGUCAUCUGGAGGAGGAAGGGAUGUUGGAUGGUAUGACACCUAGUGAGACACCUGCCAAGCUGCAGACCAUUCUCUUUUAGCGAGUCAUUGCAGUGUCUCCAGUGGCUUUUAUCCACCAAACAUGGUGUUUUUUAGAGACGUUAUGAAGCGUUUCCAGCAGGGAUUGUGCCAUCAAAGCCAAAACAUGAUCUUUUCCUCACCAUUACCAAGUGUUUUUUACUCCUAAACCUAACAAUGUUCAUCAUAGUGCUGUUGAAACAUAAAGAAAGAUAAAGCUGCAGUCUAUUCCCUACAUAAUAAUUCACAAAUGUAACUUCUCUGAGGUUUGCAGAAAAGUGCAACACCAACAUUUAUUGAAAGGCAGAUGUCAAAAUAGUGUCAAAAAUACA
Molecule: long non-coding RNA, 1742 nt
Organism: Epinephelus moara (kelp grouper)
Lineage: Eukaryota; Metazoa; Chordata; Actinopteri; Perciformes; Serranidae
Exons: 3
Source: RefSeq, a predicted model, not a curated record